This 428-nucleotide ribosomal RNA is filed under the name uncultured bacterium. RNAcentral's name for it is "bacterial SSU rRNA". It matches the Rfam family "Bacterial small subunit ribosomal RNA", at positions 355 to 776 of the family's 1533-position model. The record is from RNAcentral.
UGAGGAAUAUUGCGCAAUGGGCGAAAGCCUGACGCAGCAACGCCGCGUGAAGGAUGACGGUCUUCGGAUUGUAAACUUCUGUUAAGUGGGAAGAAAAAUCCGUUUCUAAUACAGACGGUAAUGACGGUACCAUUAGAGAAAGCACCGGCUAACUUCGUGCCAGCAGCCGCGGUAAUACGAGGGGUGCAAGCGUUAUUCGGAAUUAUUGGGCGUAAAGGGUGCGUAGACGGCAUAUUAAGUCAACUGUUAAAUUCCUCGGCCUAACUGGGGACCAGCAGUAGAUACUGAUGUGCUAGAGGAUGGAAGAGAGAAGUGGAAUUCUCGGAGUAGCGGUAAAAUGCGUAGAUCUCGAGAGGAACACCAAUGGCGAAGGCAGCUUCUUGGUCCAUUUCUGACGUUGAGGUACGAAAGCGUGGGGAGCAAACAGG